AGUGAACGCUGGCGGUAGGCCUAACACAUGCAAGUCGAACGGCAGCACAGUAAGAUCUUUCUCUUACGGGUGGCGAGUGGCGGACGGGUGAGGAAUACAUCGGAAUCUACUUUUUCGUGGGGGAUAACGGAGGGAAACUUACGCUAAUACCGCAUACGACCUACGGGUGAAAGCAGUGGAUCUUCGGACCUUGCGCGAUUGAAUGAGCCGAUGUCGGAUUAGCUAGUUGGCGGGGUAAAGGCCCACCAAGGCGACGAUCCGUAGCUGGUCUGAGAGGAUGAUCAGCCACACUGGAACUGAGACACGGUCCAGACUCCUACGGGAGGCAGCAGUGGGGAAUAUUGGACAAUGGGCGCAAGCCUGAUCCAGCAAUACCGCGUGGGUGAAGAAGGCCUUCGGGUUGUAAAGCCCUUUUGUUGGGAAAGAAAAGCAGCAGGUUAAUACCCCGCUGUUCUGACGGUACCCAAAGAAUAAGCACCGGCUAACUUCGUG
This 492-nucleotide ribosomal RNA is filed under the name uncultured bacterium. Its description in RNAcentral is "partial 16S ribosomal RNA". It matches the Rfam family "Bacterial small subunit ribosomal RNA", at positions 29 to 507 of the family's 1533-position model. The record is from RNAcentral.